CCAUUUUAGUUGCGGGCAGCGCCUUGAGCGGGCCUGUGGAGCGGAGGGUUUGGGGGGCGGGCGGUGAGGCUGAGCUGUGGGGCUGGGGGUCCAGCGGAGGGAGUGGUGCCCACAGAGGCCCCUCCGAGCCCUUCCCCCCGCCGUGGUGGCUCUCCAGGGCCGCACAGCUGGGCUUCCCAUCCCCUCCCAGGGCUCCCCUGCGCCCACGGACACCUGCAGGCCCCGCCUCUCCUCCACAGGCGAGAACCCGACGGUCUGCAGAUUCCCAGGAUCCACGUCCAGAGAACUCCCAGCGAUAAAUGUGUGCCAGGCUGCCUUCCCCAGAAUGACUGCUUCCUGCACAGGCUGGUUACAGGCAAGCAGAAGAUCUGGGAUGCAGAUGAAAGGAGAAAGUCAUCAACCCCACAGUGGUCCAGACAUGUGAAGUGACAUUGAAACCGUGUAAAGGCUCCGUGACAGAAAGGAACGGCUGAGGGCACAGAGGCUGCUGGUAAGCAAGGAGAAGCGUGAUAGGGGAGGAUGCUUUUAUAGGAUGUUCCUCCUGCAGAGCAAUAAGGAGAACCUCACCUUCACCCUACAGUCUGCCCUUCCUGCACAUAUUGGGUUUUGUCACCUGGGCUUCUGACAAGGAGGUGCAUUUUGGCUGCUGUUGGUACAGUGCUGUCAGUCUGUGCCCCCUGCUGCUACCCACCAGCUUCCCCGAAUCCAUCGUCUCUUUGAGCCGCUUGCCCAGCUCGGAGCCCGAAGCCACCAUGGCCCGCAGCAUGUCCCCCGUGGCCAGGUGGCAGACGCAGUACGUCUCAGCCAGCUUCGGAGCCUGCAGGAAAGGACAGACAGAAGGUGAGAGCGCAGCGCGGUGACUCCAGCAGAUCUGGGCAAGGACAGGACGCGGCCACUCCAGUUUUGCCUCCCACUGGGACAGGCACCCCCCAGAUCCAACAUCACACCGACCAGACCUCGUCCCCACUCGCAGCAGCGGGAUGCAGCGGGAUGCAGUGGGAACACGUGGCUCCAGGAAACCCUGCAGGGCCGCGACAAAGGCCCGCACGCCCGGUGCCCCCGCGGGCUGCCACGCACAGGCCCAGGGAGCCGGGCCCGAGGAGGCCGCACCGCGCCCUGGCUCAGAUCGCCGUCCCCUCACCUGGGUGCCCUUUCCGGCGCCGGGUGGCCCCAGCAGCACCGCGCGGAUCCCGCGGCGGAGCCCCGUGCCCGGCGCCUGUCCGCGGCCACCCCCCGCCUGCGCGUUCGGAGCCAUGGCCGCCACCGACUGUGCCUGGCGGGGUCACGCACGGAG
This 1294-nucleotide long non-coding RNA is filed under the name Gallus gallus (chicken). The record is from RNAcentral. Lineage: Eukaryota; Metazoa; Chordata; Aves; Galliformes; Phasianidae.